UUAGGUUGGUGCAAAAGUAAUUGCAGUUUUUGUCAUUACUUUUAAUUGCAAAAGCUUUAAUUACUUUUCCACCAACCUCAUAAUUUA
This 87-nucleotide microRNA precursor is filed under the name Cebus imitator (Panamanian white-faced capuchin). RNAcentral's name for it is "miRNA (ENSCCAG00000011572.1)". Lineage: Eukaryota; Metazoa; Chordata; Mammalia; Primates; Cebidae. The record is from RNAcentral.